Molecule: ribosomal RNA, 458 nt
Filed under: uncultured bacterium
Lineage: Bacteria
Description: bacterial SSU rRNA
Rfam family: Bacterial small subunit ribosomal RNA
Source: RNAcentral
ACUCCUACGGGAGGCAGCAGUGGGGAAUAUUGCACAAUGGGCGCAAGCCUGAUGCAGCCAUGCCGCGUGUGUGAAGAAGGCCUUCGGGUUGUAAAGCACUUUCAGUCGUGAGGAAGGUAGUGUAGUUAAUAGCUGCAUUAUUUGACGUUAGCGACAGAAGAAGCACCGGCUAACUCCGUGCCAGCAGCCGCGGUAAUACGGAGGGUGCGAGCGUUAAUCGGAAUUACUGGGCGUAAAGCGCAUGCAGGUGGUUUGUUAAGUCAGAUGUGAAAGCCCGGGGCUCAACCUCGGAAUUGCAUUUGAAACUGGCAGACUAGAGUACUGUAGAGGGGGGUAGAAUUUCAGGUGUAGCGGUGAAAUGCGUAGAGAUCUGAAGGAAUACCGGUGGCGAAGGCGGCCCCCUGGACAGAUACUGACACUCAGAUGCGAAAGCGUGGGGGAGCAAACAGGAUUAGAUA